RNAcentral lists this unclassified non-coding RNA (283 nucleotides) under uncultured fungus. RNAcentral's name for it is "partial contains small subunit ribosomal RNA, internal transcribed spacer 1, and 5.8S ribosomal RNA". The stretch from base 1 to 73 matches the Rfam family "Eukaryotic small subunit ribosomal RNA", at positions 1759 to 1831 of the family's 1831-position model. The record is from RNAcentral. Lineage: Eukaryota; Fungi.
GCAAACUUGGUCAUUUAGAGGAAGUAAAAGUCGUAACAAGGUCUCCGUUGGUGAACCAGCGGAGGGAUCAUUACAGAGUUGAAAAACUCCCACACCCUUGUGAACAUACCUUUGUAGUUGCUUCGGCGGACAGCCCCUCGGGGCCUCUGCCUCGCGUCAGCGGGGUGCCCGCCGGAGGACCACUCAUAACUCUUUGUAAUUAUGGCCUCUCUGAGUACUAUACAAAUAAGUUAAAACUUUCAACAACGGAUCUCUUGGUUCUGGCAUCGAUGAAGAACGCAGC